Molecule: ribosomal RNA, 253 nt
Filed under: uncultured bacterium
Lineage: Bacteria
Description: partial 16S ribosomal RNA
Rfam family: Bacterial small subunit ribosomal RNA
Source: RNAcentral
UACGUAGGGUGCAAGCGUUGUCCGGAAUUAUUGGGCGUAAAGAGCUCGUAGGCGGUCUGUCGCGUCUGCUGUGAAAACUCGGGGCUUAACCCCGGGCCUGCAGUGGGUACGGGCAGACUAGAGUGCGGUAGGGGAGACUGGAAUUCCUGGUGUAGCGGUGAAAUGCGUAGAGAUCUGGAGGAACACCGAUGGCGAAGGCAGCCUUCUGGGCCAACACUGACGCUCAUGCACGAAAGCGUGGGGAGCAAACAGG